Thunnus maccoyii (southern bluefin tuna) is the source of this 914-nucleotide non-coding RNA. The record is from the annotation of a RefSeq genome assembly. Lineage: Eukaryota; Metazoa; Chordata; Actinopteri; Scombriformes; Scombridae.
AUGAAGAAAGUGAAAAGGAAAACCACACAGCAGCAGCAGCAGCAGCAGCAGCAGCCUUAUCUGUCCACCGCAGGGGCUGAUGGGAGGUUUGAGGAGCUGUUAGAAACCACGUGGCCCUCGUCUGAUCUCACAGCUCGUCCUUGUUUGGCCUCAGCUGCAUCAGAGCGCCACUUCUCCCCAGGUUCACCAGAGGAAACACCACUGCACAAAAUGCUUUUCCUCCCAGCUGCUGCUCUGUGCUGUCUGUGUUCAGCGCUGGUUGCCAUGGCAGCAGACCUGAUUCAGGAUGAUUUAACAUUGACCAGUAGAGCUGGUCAAAACGUCUCACUCAGCUGUAGAGGAACUAACGAGUGUAACAAUAAUCUUUAUGUAUUCUGGUACCAGAAGAAAGACACAGAAACAUUCACAAGGAUUCUUCGUAUUGAUAUGUCGAAGGGUGAAGAAUAUAAAGGUUACAAUCAUCCUCAGAAAAAUGAUUUCACAGGUGGAAAAAAUGAAAACAUCUAUGAGUUGAAGAUCCAGAGAGUUAAUAUCUCACAUUCAGCCACCUACUACUGCGUCUGUUAUAAAAGUGGUUCCCACAGUGAGAAAUGAUCCAUGCAGCCUGUACAAAAACCUCCAGAUGAACAGAUGUCAAACAGUGUUUGUGACAGGAAGAGAGCAGUAAACCACAGCCCAGGUUCACAUAUUUCACCUCCAUCUCAGCCAGAGUCACUAACAAACUGAGCUGAGGACUAAAUGUUUGUCUGUUGGUGUCAGGAUUUUGAUUUAAACAUUAUAUUUCAUUGAUAUUAUUUAUCAGCUAUUUCAGCAGGUUUCCUGUUGUUCCACACAGUGAGAACAAAGGAGCAACACAGAAGCACAAUGAUACAACAAGAUGAAGACAAACAAACAAACAACAAUAUAACACAGAU